UACGUAUUGGGCGAGCGUUGUCCGGAUUUAUUGGGCGUAAAGAGCGUGUAGGCGGCCAGGUAGGUCUGCUGUGAAAACUCGAGGCUCAACCUCGAGACGUCGGCGGAAACCAUCUGGCUAGAGUCCGGAAGAGGAGAGUGGAAUUCCUGGUGUAGCGGUGAAAUGCGCAGAUAUCAGGAAGAACACCCGUGGCGAAGGCGGCUCUCUGGGACGGUACUGACGCUGAGACGCGAAAGCGUGGGGAGCGAACAGG
Molecule: ribosomal RNA, 253 nt
Filed under: uncultured bacterium
Lineage: Bacteria
Description: partial 16S ribosomal RNA
Rfam family: Bacterial small subunit ribosomal RNA
Source: RNAcentral